RNAcentral lists this ribosomal RNA (325 nucleotides) under uncultured eukaryote. RNAcentral describes it as "partial 18S ribosomal RNA". It matches the Rfam family "Eukaryotic small subunit ribosomal RNA", at positions 1470 to 1796 of the family's 1831-position model. The record is from RNAcentral.
CCCUUAGAUGUUCUGGGCCGCACGCGCGCUACACUGAUGCAUUCAACGAGCCUAUCCUUGACCGACAGGUCCGGGUAAUCUUUGAAUCUGCAUCGUGACGGGGGUAGAUUAUUGCAAUUAUUAAUCUUCAACGAGGAAUGCCUAGUAGGCGCAAGUCAUCAGCUUGCGUCGAUUACGUCCCUGCCCUUUGUACACACCGCCCGUCGCUCCUACCGAUUGGGUGUGCUGGUGAAAUGUUCGGAUCGGCCGUUUGUCGCGGUUUCCGCGUCAUGUGGCUGAGAAGUUCAUUAAACCCUCCCACCGAGAGGAAGGAGAAGUCGUAACA